This 1408-nucleotide ribosomal RNA is filed under the name metagenome. Its description in RNAcentral is "bacterial LSU rRNA". It matches the Rfam family "Bacterial large subunit ribosomal RNA", at positions 1523 to 2925 of the family's 2925-position model. The record is from RNAcentral.
GGAGGCUUGUAGGGAAAUCCGCAGGCUGAGUUGAGAUCGUGUGGCGUGCCGUACAGGCUUAAGUGAGCCGAGCCUUGCUGCCGAGAAAAGCCCCUAAACGUUGAAUCUUGAGUGCCCGUACCGCAAACCGACUCUGGUAGACGAGUAGAAAAUACUAAGGCGAACGGGGAAACCCUCGUUAAGGAACUAGGCAACAUAGCCCCGUAACUUUGGGAGAAGGGGUGCCUGCUGGGGUGAUGAAAAGAGCCCCGGUGGGUCGCAGUGAAUGGGUUCUAGUGACUGGUUACCAAAACCACAGGUCUCUGCAAAACCGAAAGGUGAUGUAUAGGGGCUGACGCCUACCCAGUGCCGGAAGGUUAAGGGGAGAGGUUAGCGCAAGCAAAGCUUUGAACCGAAGCCCCGGUGAACGGCGGCCGUAACUAUAACGGUCCUAAGGUAGCGAAAUUCCUUGUCGGGUAAGUUCCGACCCGCACGAACGGCGUAACAACUAGAACACUGUCUCAACGAGGGACCCGGCGAAAUUGAAAUGGCUGUGAAGAUGCGGCCUACCCGCAGCAGGACAAAAAGACCCCGUGGAGCUUUACUGCAUCUUGGCAUUGAAUUUGGGCAUUGUUUGUGUAGGAUAGGUGGGAGGCUUUGAAGCUAGGGCGCUAGCCUUGGUGGAGCCAACGGUGAAAUACCACCCUGAUGAUGUUUAGAUCCUAACCCCACGCCGUAAUCCGGGUGGGGGACCGUGCCAGGUGGGCAGUUUGACUGGGGCGGUCGCCUCCUAAAAGGUAACGGAGGCGCCCAAAGGUUCCCUCAUGCUGAAUGGAAACCAGCAGAAGAGUGCAAAGGCACAAGGGAGCUUGACUGCAAGACCAACGCGUCGAGCAGAUACGAAAGUAGGGCUUAGUGAUCCCACGGUUCUGAGUGGAAGGGCCGUGGCUUACCGGACAAAAGCUACCCCGGGGAUAACAGGCUGGUGAAGUCCAAGAGUUCUUAUCGACGACUUCGCUCGGCACCUCGAUGUCGGCUCAUCGCAUCCUGGGGCUGUACAAGGUCCCAAGGGUCGGGCUGUUCGCCCGUUAAAGCGGUACGCGAGCUGGGUUCAGACCGUCGCGAGACAGGUCGGUCUCUAUCCGCUGUGGGCGUAAGGGAUUUGAGAGGAGCUGCCCCUAGUACGAGAGGACCGGGGUGGACUGACCUCUGGUGUGCCAGUUGUCGUGCCAACGGCAUUGCUGGGUAGCCAACGUCAGGCAGAGAUAACCGCUGAAAGCAUCUAAGCGGGAAACUUGCCUCAAGAUUAGAUCCCUGUUUUCCCGCUAAGGGAGUAAGGUCGCAGGUAGACUACCUGCUUGAUAGGCGGCGUGUGUAAGCGCAGUAAUGCGUUCAGCUAAGCCGUACUAAUGACCGAGGGCUUCCUCAU